This 679-nucleotide long non-coding RNA is filed under the name Anser brachyrhynchus (Pink-footed goose). RNAcentral's name for it is "lncRNA (ENSABRG00000005541.1)". Lineage: Eukaryota; Metazoa; Chordata; Aves; Anseriformes; Anatidae. The record is from RNAcentral.
CCUUGCUGUCCCUGAGGUGAGGCGCCGCCAUCUUGGCUGCUGGGCCCUGCUGGGGCCCAGCCUUAGCCUCCCUGUUGAACAUUUCUUUCACAUUUUCACAUUUCGAGCUUUUCUAAUGCUCUCGUUCCCAGUCCUUUCCAGCACAGGAUUUAUGAGAUCAUGGGCUGAGCUGAAGUUUUAAAUUCCAUAGUGAAAAUGUUAAUGCAUGGAAUGGAGAGAAUAUUUGGCAGACUGGCUUUUUAAGGCCAAAGGAGGUGGCUGUGUUUCACAGAGAAGACUUCACUGAAAACCUUGGACCUAGUUGGUAACCUCAAAAUAGAAGAGAUGAGUAAAAGGAGGGAGAAGAGAAGAAAAGGAACAAGUGUACCCAAGAGGCACCUUAAGGACCUUAAGGACUGUAGAAGACCACCUGAGUUGCUGCAGAAGAUGUCAUUUACGUCAGCUUAUUCUGACUGGGUCUUCAGAGAUUCUCCUUCUGAGAUGUUCCUGUAAACAGUUACUUUCAUACUUGGGUUUUCAAACAAAGGGCCAAAUGUACUUCAUUGAACAUCUAUCUUCUUUAUUCUUUCUUCGCUUAAUGGAAUGCUAUCCCUGUUUUACUGUGUCCAGCUGGCACAUCCUCAGCAUGCUGAUUUCAUUUAAGAAAUCACUACCCAUUGUAGAAGCCAGAUGUAGCUGA